GUUUCGGAGUGGGUUGUAUCGAUAUCGUACUGUUCGAUCAGACUAACUAACUAAGUUUAAUUAACUGCAGUGAUUUCAACUAAUAUUUAAUUGGUAAGUGCGUAUUGGACGGCAAAGGACAAGGUUUAGAAAUGGAAACUUACUUUUUAAAAAUUCUAAGGCGAACUUUUGUAUAUUACCGUAUGCUUGAUGAAAAAUGGAGCCGAUGAAAACCCCAAAAGAUCUGGAAGCUGAAAGCGCUAUUGCUGCAAUGAAUGGACAAUGGUUGGGUAGCCGCAGCAUCCGUACAAACUGGGCAACAAGGAAACCCCCAGCGCCAAAAAAUGAAGUCAAUUCGAAGCCACUAACAUUUGAUGAAGUUUACAACCAAAGCAGCCCGACUAACUGCACCGUUUACUGCGGAGGUAUUACCAACGGAUUAACAGAAGAGCUUAUGCAAAAAACGUUCGCCCCUUUCGGUUCAAUUCAAGAAAUUCGGGUUUUCAAAGAAAAAGGAUACGCAUUCAUACGAUUCUCCACUAAAGAAUCUGCUACACACGCCAUAGUUGCAGUUCAUAAUACAGACAUUAAUGGACAAGUUGUGAAAUGCUCUUGGGGGAAGGAAUCGGGUGAUCCAAACAAUGCCCCGGUUGCCGGGCAGCCUUUAACCAGUACACAGUACCCUUACGGGGCAUAUGGUCAACAAUUAGGUUAUUGGUAUCCGCAAAGUUAUCCAACCGCUGCAGCCGCAGCACAAAUUCAAGGUCAAUAUAUACAAGGAAUUCAAGGUUACGGGUACGGACAAUACGGUGGAUAUCAGCAGCCCUACAUGGGGCUUGGAGUGCAAGUUCCGACAACUUGGCAAGGAAUUCCCGGUCAGCCGCAAUUGCCAACAACACCGCAACAAAUCGCGGCACCUGGAGCGACGUUACAACAACCUGGUUUGGUGUUCCCCAUACAACAGUUUCAAGUAAUUUCACAACAGUAAUUGUAGCACGUUAUUUGCCUUGCCGUGCCUAAGCGAGUGAACGGCGGUCGCGAAUGUGAAUCUAAAUGCACGUUAGAUUAGAUACUCAUCAUGUACAUAAAUCAAUUUUUAGAAAGGAAGAACUGCUAUGGUCUCGGUUUUAUAUAAACAGCACGAUGCAUGAGUUUGUGUAGAGAGCUUAACUCGAUCGGAAUCAGGCUCAAUGAAACACAAACAUUUGUCACCAAGUCGACGUAGUGAUAUUUUAAUAUUAUUCAAGAUAUCUUAUCGUUGUUUAUCGCGGAUUUUUAAAUGUUCGUGCCAAAUUUCCAGUUUGUUCGACGUGUCUAACAGUCCUACAUAGAGAGGUCCAUCCAUUUUAGUUAAAUGGCAGAGGGCAUCGCAUCCAAUGUUAGUUAGGUCAAUAGUUUAUGUUGUGAAUGGGUGUGGGCGGAUGGGGAAAUUGCACUGCACGUGGCUAGUUUUUAGCCCAAUUGAGCGCCAUAGCUACAUUGCUCACGCUCAUGACACCUUAAUUCACAAAUUUAUGCAUGAAUGCGUGAGUCCUGCUGAUGUGUCCAUCUGUUUGGCAGUUGGCGGACGAGGAAUGGCUUACGCCCAGUCUCUUAGUUUGAUGGUAAUGUGUGUAUCCGGCUGAAUGUCACGCAUAUUUAAGACAGAUGCAAAAGAGAAGAACUGUACCUAUCCACCAAGGUUUAUGUCAUUCAGUCGCUUACUGUCUAACUAAACAAUCACUAUCUACCUUAAAAGUUUGUUUGACAUUGUUUUUUGUGUACUCAGUCCGUAGUGUUUAGUCAAUAAAAACUCUUGUUAGAUUGUAAGUUGACUUAUAUUUGUAUAAAAUGUUUCAAGAGCUUGUUAUCUUUAUUUAAUAUUUGUACAAACAGAGGUAAGUUACGUAUAAUAAGCUAGAUAGAUAACUAGGCAAUGCAGUUGACUUAAAAGUCGAACUAGUUAUAAUUGGACGACGGCCAGUGGCGGUUGCUGGAGAUAAUAUAUAACUGUAUGUGGAGUAUUACAAAGGGGGUAAUUCAUUUUCACACGUUUCUAGUUGUAUACCUUUCAUAGGUCCCAAUCAGCCCUUUUCGCCAUCACUGGCAAGCCGUAUCAUCUAUACAUACUGUAAUAUUACUGUACAUACAGAUAGAUAUCGCAAUAUCAUGCGAUAUCUGUAGGGUUAAAAUGUGCAUAGCCGGAUCGGACUUGUCUGGUCGGCACAUCGUAUUCGUAACUUAGAUUAUUCUAUGCGAUUCAAAAAUAUAUGAUUAGCCUAACGUGAUAUCGCGAAAAAUCCGACUUUUAUAUAAUAUACUCUUGUAAGAGAAGGAAAGUUUUGAUACAAGAUUUAAAAAGUAUACCGAAGAUAAUAGCUAGAGUAGAUAUGACGACGAGUAUUAUUUAGCCCUUGUUUAACGGUGGCAAAUGGCAUCAUUUAUACAUAAUAUACAUAUAUAAAGUUAUAAAUAACUGUAUGUGCGUUAUUGACAGUAUAUACCCAAUUUGCACGCUAAACUGUAGAAGCACCUCAUAUGUAAACGGCUGUAUUAGUGUCAUAAAUGUAAAAGACCAUUCGCCCUGUCCUUAAAAUGGUUGUACAAAUAUCACUUAAAUAUGGUAUUUAUUAUCAUCUAGCACCGGCGUUAUAGCAAACCAUUCUGACCAUGAUAUAGGAAAUGCUUAAGGUGAUAGUCAAUUAAAUCAAUGCGACUUUUCGUCGUAUUGAAUGGCCGCGAAACUAUGGCCAAUAAGCAACUGGAGGCUCAAACGUUACAAAGAUAGCCUAGUCGAUGAUCAAAUUACAUUGUCCUACGUCGCCUGUUUAACUCUUGGCGAAUGGAAAGUAUUUUAUUCAACCAGUACAUCCUGCAUUGUAACGUUUUUCUUAUCGCAAAAGUUCACUCAAUUACGUGAGGCCACACAAAAUAAAAAAAAACGACCCGUUUCUAAAUCAGUACAUCCACCCACGCCAAGCUCAAUAGAACGCCCCACAAGAAUAUUAAUUAAGAUGACUCUUUCGGUUUAAACAUCUAAGGGUACCUACAUUGUGUUACAAUUAACAUUUAAAUUCCUGUGACGCAAAUGCUCUAUUUUGUCCUCUCAGUUUUACAACACACAAAAUGAUGCUAUGCGAUGGAAGGUUUAAAUGAAUUGAGACAAUCAAUAAAUUUUCUUUUAGAGAAAUUAGAACUUAUAUAGUAGCUCACUCUUCCAUCGACAUACCUAAUCGUUGUUUCUGUUUCUAGAGCAUUGUAGCUUAUACAUUUUUGUUAUAGACACUUUCUAAUGCGCCAUUCUAUUUACAGGCUAUUUAGAUUACCAAAAUUGCAUUUUCCAUUAAAUAUUCAAUUGUGGAUUGGUCACGUGUUUUUUUCGCAUAGGGUUGUUUUGAAUUCGAAGACUGGUCAAGAAUACAAAAACGGUGAGAAGUUGAAAAAUGCACAAUCACAUUUUACACGCACGACACUUUGGCGUUUUUAAAAGAAACCUGCCCUAUUUGCAGGUACUUUCCAUACACUGAGGUCAUUCACAAACAAAAAUCAAUCGUACGGGUCUCAGCACGAUUACUAGACAACACAUACUCUUGAGGUUUUAUGGUGUACUUGGUGUGAUUUUGUUCAUUCUUUUAAAAAUCCCUCCGAGCUACCUUUCUGCGGAUACCGGCGGUCUAGACACACAAUUUAGAUUUGCUGCAACCCGACGUUAACAAAUUUGUCCUAGGAAUGCUUUGCGAUUUGGAGUACGAGUACUGAUAGCUAGUAUGCGAAAUUCACCUAAAAUUCGAUUUGUUGCUUUGUUAAUUAAUUCGAUUAUUUUUUAUGUUAACGUUUUCGUGGUCUUUCUCGUCUGGGUUUGCAUUAGGGGAUGAAAUUCAUGUGUGUCUACAAUAAACGAAUAGGGCAAAUAGAUAGAAAUGUAUUGGUUGAAUAAAAGCUGCGUUUUGACUCUAGUUGUAAAAAGAAUCGAAAGUUACCAACGUUUAUGUCGAUAGGUAGUUAAGAGAUUUGUUGUUUUACGCUAUAACUUGCAGUACCUAAUGUUAAUAUAAUAAUUUUGUAGUUCUUAAGUAUAAGUUGUUAGUUAUUAUAUAUAAGUUGUUAGAAGCAAUCAUCGAUUUAUUUAUUUUUCACGUAUGUUACAUACUGAUACCAUUGUUUAUUCUAAAUGAAUAAGCAAUGCUGAUACUUUGUAUGGGCCAAAUAUUUUCUGUCUCUGUAUGACAGGAUUAUAUUUAUCUAGGAGAUAGUGGUUGCAUAUGUGCAGAAUAAAUCUAAACGUAUAAGUUUGUGUACUUAAAUCUGUUAUUUUCUUAAAUAUAAUAUAGUUGUAUUGAUUUAAGUGUGUUGAAAGAAUGAAACUAAUCAAAAAGUUAUGAGUUGUAUAUUAUUAUAGUCGUUACUCUCAGAAAGGUCAGUUGACAAAGUUACAGCAGGUAGAAGACGGCCAUACUUGCAUGUUGACCACACAUUUGCAUUUAAUAGAUAGUGUUUUAAGCCCGGACUCGUUUUAAUCCAAUCCAGAUGUCUACAAUAUUAGAUAUGAGUCUAGGUCAACUCGGUCUGGCUAUUAUAGCUUAUUAAAAUGUAGCUUUGUUCCUGACUGAUGAAGUAACAAACACCUGUAUAAAGUGUUUAUAUCACAGGCUGUAACGCAUAGGAAGGAUGGCGUGAUCACACGCCGAGAGAUAUUAUACAAGAUAAAAACAGAUCUAGAUUAUUAUAUUGUAGGAAAUGGAAUUGAAAUAAAGAGAGUUACAAUGAA
Photinus pyralis (common eastern firefly) is the source of this 4726-nucleotide RNA transcript. It is a transcript of the gene named nucleolysin TIA-1, with no coding region annotated. The transcript has 7 exons. NCBI's taxonomy places the organism in Eukaryota, Metazoa, Arthropoda, Insecta, Coleoptera, Lampyridae. The record is from RefSeq and is a predicted model, not a curated record.